RNAcentral lists this ribosomal RNA (253 nucleotides) under uncultured bacterium. RNAcentral describes it as "partial 16S ribosomal RNA". It matches the Rfam family "Bacterial small subunit ribosomal RNA", at positions 524 to 776 of the family's 1533-position model. The record is from RNAcentral.
UACAGAGGUCUCAAGCGUUGUUCGGAUUUAUUGGGCGUAAAGAGCUCGUAGGCGGCUUGUCGCGUCGACUGUGAAAACCCGCGGCUCAACCGCGGGCCUGCAGCCGAUACGGGCAGGCUAGAGUUCGGUAGGGGAGACUGGAAUUCCUGGUGUAGCGGUGAAAUGCGCAGAUAUCGGGAGGAACACCGAUGGCGAAGGCAGGUCUCUGGGCCGAUACUGACGCUGAGGAGCGAAAGCGUGGGGAGCGAACAGG